UACGCAGGUGGCAAGCGUUGUCCGGAUUUACUGGGUGUAAAGGGCGUGUAGCCGGGCUUACAAGUCAGAUGUGAAAUCCGGGGGCUCAACCCCCGAACUGCAUUUGAAACUGUAGGUCUUGAGUAUCGGAGAGGCAGGCGGAAUUCCUAGUGUAGCGGUGAAAUGCGUAGAUAUUAGGAGGAACACCAGUGGCGAAGGCGGCCUGCUGGACGACAACUGACGGUGAGGCGCGAAAGCGUGGGGAGCAAACAGG
RNAcentral lists this ribosomal RNA (253 nucleotides) under uncultured bacterium. Its description in RNAcentral is "partial 16S ribosomal RNA". It matches the Rfam family "Bacterial small subunit ribosomal RNA", at positions 524 to 776 of the family's 1533-position model. The record is from RNAcentral.